Molecule: non-coding RNA, 186 nt
Filed under: Bacillota bacterium
Lineage: Bacteria; Bacillati; Bacillota
Description: 6S RNA
Rfam family: 6S / SsrS RNA
About the family: E. coli 6S RNA was the first non coding RNA to be sequenced, but its function was unknown until recently. It consists of 184 nucleotides that fold into an extended hairpin structure with a large single-stranded internal bulge. The 6S RNA specifically associates with RNA polymerase holoenzyme containing the sigma70 specificity factor.
Source: RNAcentral
AGAGUCCUGAAGUGUUCGUCUUAAUACCUGAUGUUUUGACCAACAUUAAUUCUUCGGGAGUCCAUGUUUCCCAAUUGCGUAAAUGCCUCCUUCACGAGGACUUACAAGAGUUUGGAACAGGGCACCCACCUGCUGAGUGCGGGAUCAAAACGAAGGAUGCCAACGGACGGCACCAUUGGGGCUCUU